This 1903-nucleotide ribosomal RNA is filed under the name human gut metagenome. RNAcentral's name for it is "bacterial LSU rRNA". It matches the Rfam family "Bacterial large subunit ribosomal RNA", at positions 3 to 1996 of the family's 2925-position model. The record is from RNAcentral.
UUAAGCUAAGAAGAGCGUAGGGAGAAUGCCUUGGCAUUAGGAGCCGACGAAGGACGUGAUAAGCUGCGAUAAGCUGCGGGGAUCAGCAAGUAUGAAUUGAUCCGCAGAUUUCCGAAUGGAGCAAUCCGUAUGUGUAUGCACAUACAUCAUAUACUGAAUCAAAUAGGUAUAUGAGGGGAACCGCCUGAACUGAAACAUCUAAGUAGGGCGAGGAAGAGAAAUCAACCGAGAUUCUGUGAGUAGUGGCGAGCGAAAGCGGAAGAGGCUAAACCAUAGGUAGCAAUACUUAUGGGGUUUCGGACAGCAUUUAGUAUUGAUAAUUUCUAGUUGAAACGUGUGGGAAAACGUACCGAAGAGUGUGAGAGUCACGUAAGCGAAAGAGAAAGUCAGCGAGCUGUAUCCAAAGUACCGCGGGACACGUGAAACCCCGUGGGAAGAUGGGGGGACCAUCCUCCAAGCCUAAAUACUACCUAAUGACCGAUAGCGAAUAGUACUGUGAAGGAACGGUGAAAAGAACCCCGGGAGGGGAGUGAAAAAGAACCUGAAACCCUAUGCUUACAAGCACCGAGAGCACGUCAAAGUGUGAUCGGGUACCUUUUGUAGAAUGGUCCGGCGAGUUAUUGUAUGCGGCAAGGUUAAGUGCUUAAGGCACGGAGCCGAAGCGAGAGCAAGUCUGAACAGGGCGAAAAAGUCGUAUGCAAUAGACCCGAAACCGAGUGACCUAUCCAUGUCCAGGCUGAAGUGGAGGUAAAACUCCAUGGAGGGCCGAACACACGUCCGUUGAAAAGGCCGGUGAUGAGGUGUGGAUAGCGGAGAAAUUCCAAUCGAACUCGGAUAUAGCUGGUUCUCUCCGAAAUAGCUUUAGGGCUAGCCUCGUGAAAGAUUACUGGAGGUAAAGCACUGAAUGGGCUAGGGGUCGAAAGAUUACUGAACCCUAUCAAACUAAGAAUGCCAGAUAAUUGAUUCACGGGAGUCAGACAAUGUGAGAUAAGUCUCAUUGUCAAAAGGGAAACAGCCCAGACCCACAGCUAAGGUCCCUAAACAUUGUUAAGUGGAAAAGGAUGUGGGGUUGCAUAAACAACCAGGAUGUUGGCUUAGAAGCAGCCACUCAUUAAAAGAGUGCGUAAUAGCUCACUGGUCGAGUGACCCUGCGCCGAAAAUUCAACGGGGCUAAACAAUGUACCGAAGCUUGGGAUUCUAGAUUUAUCUAGAGUGGUAGGAGAGCGUCGAAUAAGGGGUGAAGUCAGAGCGGAAGCGCUGGUGGACUUUAUUCGAGUGAGAAUGCCGGAAUGAGUAGCGAGAAUUAUGUGAGAAUCAUAAUGGCCGAAAAUCUAAGGUUUCCUGAGGAAGGUUCGUCCGCUCAGGGUAAGCCGGGGGCUAAGGCGAGGCGGAGACGCGUAGCCGAUGCACAUACGGUUGAAAUUCCGUAGCCACCGAAAGAUUUAAGUACAGGGACGCUUUAGAAGUGAUGUUGCCGGGCGAUGGUUGACCCGGUCGUAAGGGAUCGAAAAUGAGUAGAGAAGUCAUCAUGGAAAGAGACAAGAAAAGCUGUAUGGAUAUCUUAGGUGCCCGUACCGCAAACCGACACAGGUAGAUAGGAAGAAGAUUCUAAGGCCAACGGGAGAAGGGUUGUUAAGGAACUCGGCAAGUUGACCCCGUAACUUAGGGAUAAGGGGUGCUCAAGUGAUUGAGCCGCAGAGAAUAGGCCCAGGCGACUGUUUAGCAAAAACACAGGUCUCUGCUAAAUCGAAAGAUGACGUAUAGGGGCUGACACCUGCCCGGUGCCGGAAGGUUAAGAGGAGAUGUGAGAGCAUUGAAUUGAAGCCCCGGUAAACGGCGGCCGUAACUAUAACGGUCCUAAGGUAGCGAAAUUCCUUGUCAGGUAAGUUCUGACCCGCACGAA